GACGAACGCUGGCGGCGUGCUUAACACAUGCAAGUCGAGCGGAAAGGCCCUUCGGGGUACUCGAGCGGCGAACGGGUGAGUAACACGUGAGUAACCUGCCCUUGGCUCUGGGAUAAGCCCGGGAAACUGGGUCUAAUACCGGAUAUGACCAUCAGAUGCAUGUCUUGGUGGUGGAAAGAUUUUUCGGCUGGGGAUGGGCUCGCGGUCUAUCAGCUUGUUGGUGGGGUGAUGGCCUACCAAGGCGACGACGGGUAGCCGGCCUGAGAGGGUGACCGGCCACACUGGGACUGAGACACGGCCCAGACUCCUACGGGAGGCAGCA
Molecule: ribosomal RNA, 322 nt
Filed under: uncultured bacterium
Lineage: Bacteria
Description: bacterial SSU rRNA
Rfam family: Bacterial small subunit ribosomal RNA
Source: RNAcentral